Molecule: long non-coding RNA, 698 nt
Organism: Anolis carolinensis (green anole)
Lineage: Eukaryota; Metazoa; Chordata; Lepidosauria; Squamata; Anolidae
Exons: 3
Source: RefSeq, a predicted model, not a curated record
CUCAGAGUUUAAAACCUUGGUCAAGUGGUCCCUGGUCAAAAAGGGUUGGGAACCACUGUUCUAGAUGAUGUAGACCAGGGAAGAAUGAUUUGAUCUUGUGAAAAAUUCAGGAUUUCUUUAAUAUUGGAAACAUGAUCCCACUGAAAACUUUUUGUUCUAGAUGCAAGCAAGUGUGAACAUGUGUGUCUGUCUGUCAGUCUGCGAAUGAAGAUGUGAAGAAAAGCGAGACCAAAGAUUUCAAUCCAGCCCUGUUUCCAGCACCAUUUUCAUUUCAGAUUGCGGCCCACAGCUGAAGAGUAGACGACUUUAUUAGGAGCAAAUGGCACAGCGGUCUGCUGAUGGGGGAAAUCGUGCUUCCUGACAUUUAUAGAUAUUUCUCAGCGAGAUACGGCAGAAUAUUGGGGGAAAUGAAACAGAUUACAUAAAGAAGAUAUCCAAGCCGCCGCUCACCUUGAUGCCCUCUCCGCGGUCUCUGAUGGUUCCCCGGCCUCCGCCUCCUUCCCGGCACACAGCCAUUCACACACAGACUUUCUCGUUCGAUGGCAGAUUGUAAUUUUUGGGCGCUAAUCACACGGCGGCUUUGGGAUGACAGGAAGGGUCAUCGAAUCUGCACCGUCUUCUCCUCAGAACUGCUGCUUUUCACUUUGAAGAUUGAUGUCAUUCGUCAUCCAGAAAUACACCCUUAUUAAUUAAUACGA